AUGGAGAAAGACGCGGUGCUGGUGUGCAUGGUCUUGGGCUUUCUCGGCUCUGUCGCAGUCACCCUCGGCUUCGUCGCCAACAACUACAGCUCCAAGGCAUGGAUCCAAGAUCGAACAUCACAAUUAUCUUUUCAUCAAUUCGAUAGAUCUGUGCUAACUGAGUCUACGUUAGUCCGUGGAGUACAACGGGACGAACUGCGUGUAUCGGAGCCCGCCGGCGACGGGUCUCGGCAUCCUGGGAGUGUUCCUGGUGUUCAUCAACUAGGUCAUCAUCGCCGCCUACGCCAGCGGCUGGUGGCUCUACCUGUGUUGCUGCUGCCCCUGCUGGACCAAGCGCCGCCGGCAGGCGCCAAUACCGUCCAAGUGGCACAGGUGUAA
Molecule: ribosomal RNA, 378 nt
Filed under: Triticum aestivum (bread wheat)
Lineage: Eukaryota; Viridiplantae; Streptophyta; Magnoliopsida; Poales; Poaceae
Description: partial small subunit ribosomal RNA
Source: RNAcentral